This 300-nucleotide ribosomal RNA is filed under the name uncultured Pyrobaculum sp. Its description in RNAcentral is "partial 16S ribosomal RNA". It matches the Rfam family "Bacterial small subunit ribosomal RNA", at positions 496 to 795 of the family's 1533-position model. The record is from RNAcentral. Lineage: Archaea; Thermoproteati; Thermoproteota; Thermoprotei; Thermoproteales; Thermoproteaceae.
GGGAACGGCGGGCAGGGGGCGGGGGUAGUACGGAGGUGGCAAGCGGUUGCCGGAUGUAAUGGGGUUAAAGGGUGUGGAGGCGGGUAUUUAAGUCCGAUGUGAAAUCUCGGGGCUCAACUCAGGAACGUCCUUGGAUACGAUGGAACUUGAAUAUAGUUGAGGUAGGCGGAAUAUGUCAUGUAGCGGUGAAAUGCAUAGAUAUGACAUAGAACACCAGUUGCGAAGGCAGCUUGCUAAACGAUGAUUGACGCUGAGGCACGAAAGCGUGGGGAUCAAACAGGAUUAGAUACCCUAGUAGUC